Molecule: ribosomal RNA, 180 nt
Filed under: uncultured Glomeromycotina
Lineage: Eukaryota; Fungi; Glomeromycota
Description: partial small subunit ribosomal RNA
Source: RNAcentral
GGAUCAGUAGGUUGGUCGUGCCACUGGUAUGUACUGGUCUCACUGGUUCCUCCUUCUUGUAGAACCGUAAUGCCAUUAAUUUGGUGUUGCGGGGAAACAGGACUGUUACUUUGAAAAAAUUAGAGUGUUUAAAACAGGCUUAUGCUUGAAUACUACAGCAUGGAAUAACGGAAUAGGACU